ACAGAUCCAACCGAACAGCCGCAAGACAAGGGAGAAGUGGCGAUAAGAACCGGAUUGUGCUCCUUGCUCCCAUAAGAACGACAGAGUUACCAACACACGGUCUCACACACAGACUCCACUAGGGUUUGGGCCUCACCUGAAGGAGAAAAUUGGGGAACCAAACCCUAAGCCAGCUAAAUCCGACCUCCCCACAGACCCUCCGAAGCUCCUAAUGACUCGCCUUCACUCCAGAUUGAAAGAGAGAAGCGUCAAAUUCGAGAUCUGCAAACCAGAUCUGAAAGACGCCAUCAUCUUCCGUCACCAGGGCGUCAUGCAUAUCACCGAAGGAGAGGAGAACUGGCAGGAGGCAAAGAAACACAUACAAACAGAUCCGUAACAGGUGCACGCGCCGUCACGGUAGACGAUGUCUUCACGGAGAGCGUCAAAGACAUCGUUAUAAAUGGUGAAUUUGAAAGACCUACUAAUAAAGAAAAUAGUACUACUAGUAAAGAAAAUUAAAAUAGAUAUUUAUGGCAUUAAAUAAAGAAGAAAUAAAUGGGGCCGACAAGGUUUGAAGAAACUAAUUAUUAGAAAGAUAAAGAAAAACGGAACGAAUUGGCAGUAUAGGAAAGUGUUUGAAGAAAUUAAGUUUUCUUGCGAGUCGUCACUUACAUCACCAUUAAGUUAGCUUCUCCUUUGGUACUAAGAUAGCGCCACUUGUCAUUCUACAGUAAAAAAAUAUUACAAUUAUUUUGGAUAAUUAUUGUGUAUAUUUCAGGUGAGCUUGGUCUUGGGUCCGUGUAAGAUUAAAACUCAAUAUCUAAAUGUGUUAAAGAGGAGCUGAAGAACCAUGUGAGGCUCAUGAUAUCUCAAAGCCCAACCUCUUAGAUAAAAGUUAAAACAAAUUCUCUAAAGGGGUGUAUUGAAUUAAUGAUUUUAGGAGAUUGUGGGAUUUGGUCAUGUUAUUCAAGUAAUGAUUUGAAAAAAGAAAUCCAAAUCAUGUGUUAUUCAAUAUGUUAUUCAAUAUGAAAUUUGUAUAAAAUUAUUAUAAAUCACUUACAAUCCCUUUUUAUUCAAUUAACAAUUUGUAAAACUUAUAUCAAAUCCACUUUUAUUCAAAGCUAAAUAAGAUUUUAAAAAGAAAAUUUGUGAAAAUAAUUUGAGGAGAGUUUACAUCAUCUUUUAGUUAAAAAUACCUCCUACAGAAUAACAAAUCUAUUGGUGUUAUUUGAAGAGAAUUAUGUUUUAUCUCUCUCCCUCAAUUAUUUUCUUAAGAAAGAAUUGUGAGACACCCCCUCUGGUUUCGACUUCGUCACCUUCAUUAUACAAACAAUUGCAUUUACUUGUUUCUGUCGCAAAUCAGUCGAAGACGAAUCUCAACUCUUCCUACUCCUGUUCCAACUUCUUGAUUUCCUCACUUGCAUCCCGAAUAACUAUUCGAUCGAGUACACCAACGUAGCAACGGGACGGAAAGAGUGAGGGCAAGUUCAUGGCUCUCGUUCGGCUUAUCUAUUUUCGGAAGCUUUCAUCACUUCUUGCAGUAGAAAUAUGAUUGAUUGGAGUUGCCACGCCCUGGAUGGCUACGAGCUGCUUUCUUCUUGACUCAUAAGCUCAUACGCUAAGAACCAGUUCUUGUGAGUUUGUUCUUUAUCUUUUCCCUCACAUCCCUCUUCCUUGAUAUGUUUUUAGUCAUAAAUUGAUGAAUUUUAUGAUUUCAUUUACAUAUGAUGAUUUACAAAACAUGGGGACUGAUUGUUUUGCUAAAGCGAAAACAUGUUCAUGAUUUGAUACACAAAUCACUAUAUGAAGCAAAAGAUGGCUACUUCUCUCAAGAAUCACAAUCUGAUGGGGCUUUGGAGAGAAGAAUUGAGUUCAACCGGGUUAAAACCUUGAAAGUUGGGGUCUUAUUUGGAGCACUACUAGUUUUCUCUAUGUAUCCUGGGAGGGAGGCGUACGUGAAGUUACUGAAGAAAAUUUACAAGAAGAGUGACAAUUGUUUACUCUAGUGGAACUCUUCAAAUUGAAGUGUCGUAGAUAUGUUCUUUAUGUUUUCUUGGAAUAGCCUUCCCGUGUUGUAGUUCUUGUAGCCUUGAUGUCAAUCAUCGUCUAUGCAUCUAUGUGUAUGAGUUUCAACUAUGCAAUGUUUUGAGCAAUUUUGACAUUAAUUAGAAGGAAUAUGACGUGGUAUAGGUUCAUGCGAACAUGGCAGAUGUAUCAGUAGUGAUGCCGAGAGAAGCCGCCAUUGCUUAUAACUUUGUGGUUCUUUUAUCUUGUUUAAGAUAAGGCAUUCACUACCUCUCCAUAUCUCUAAAAUAUUACUGUAACUCUUGUUUUCUUUUUUCACUCGGUAUAUUAGUGGUGGACUGUUGGCAA
Molecule: long non-coding RNA, 2352 nt
Organism: Brassica napus (rape)
Lineage: Eukaryota; Viridiplantae; Streptophyta; Magnoliopsida; Brassicales; Brassicaceae
Exons: 2
Source: RefSeq, a predicted model, not a curated record